AGAGUUGAAGGAGGAGGGCGAGGUGGAAGAGAAGAAGAAGAAGAAAAUGAAGGUUUGCGAUGGAGGUUAAGAGAGCGAUAUACUGAGAAAUGCGGACAGCAGAAGAAAUAUUAUAAGCAAUUAUAAUAUUUCUUCUGCUUCUCGUAUUUCUUAGUAUAUUGCUCUUGAAGGAGGACGAGCUUCUUGAUUGACUGAGUGCAUUGAACAAGAACAAUACCAAGAAUGAAAGUGAUUUUCAGAUUCAAUGCUUUCUUGAUCGAUCGGCAAGAGAAGAAAAGUAUUAAGGUGCAAGACAAGAAAGGAUCGGUGGUGCAAGACAAGAAAGGAUCGGAGGUGCAAGAGAAUAAUCCACAUCUUUGUGGUGGAUUACAAUGGAUCCGAAAGAAUGGCUGUCUUCGUCCGUUUUCUGAUUUUUCCCGGUGCUUUUUAGAGGGAGUUUGUGGGUGAGAGAGAAUCCAUUUUGAAAUUGAGAGAGAAGGCGGGCGAAAGUGGUGGAUCAGUUUGAAAAAGAAGUCGUCUCUGAGGAGGAAAAAUUGAGAGGGAUUUUCGAUUCAAUGGAUCCGAAUGAAUGGCUGUCGCCGUCCGUUUGUGGGCAAGUGCAAAUUCGUUUGGAGUUUAGCUCUCCCGGCGGGGUCCACCAGAGAGCAUCCAUUGCCGGGCGUGUUGGUAGGAGGGAAAGAGAGAGGGGUGAUGUGGUAUGAUAAAUCUGAGGCGGAAUUGAUGGAGGAGGAAAUAAAGAACAAUAUGGUCCGCGGCAUAUUUGGUUUUACAGAUGGUUUGGUAGGAUAAGGUAAAGAAAAAGGCUGCAAGGUGGAUCAACGCUCUCCACGUAUUGUGAGGACUAAGGAGAACGAUUAGCAGUAGAUUUGAGGAGCAUCUAAGGGGGACAUCCAGGGUACGCAUAAACAUGUAAAAUGUAGCAUUCCAAGCAUGUGGGAAUCAAAUGGGUGUGCUCUGAAACCAUUUUCUUUCAUUAGAAACUACACUUGGGAUGGAGGCCAUGUUUAUCACAUAAUGCAUCCGGAAUUUGAAGGCAUUAA
Molecule: long non-coding RNA, 1040 nt
Organism: Cryptomeria japonica (Japanese cedar)
Lineage: Eukaryota; Viridiplantae; Streptophyta; Pinopsida; Cupressales; Cupressaceae
Exons: 2
Source: RefSeq, a predicted model, not a curated record